AACAUAUACCUUCCAGGACUCCUUUGAAGCUAGAGUGGCUACAACCUCAGUCUGGACAAAGAUAUAGAUUAUGGUGAAAGAACAGUUUGUCAUAAUUUUACAGAAGGC
This 108-nucleotide long non-coding RNA is filed under the name Canis lupus familiaris (dog). Its description in RNAcentral is "lncRNA (ENSCAFG00000046350.2, ENSCAFG00845017511.1)". The record is from RNAcentral. Lineage: Eukaryota; Metazoa; Chordata; Mammalia; Carnivora; Canidae.